This 468-nucleotide ribosomal RNA is filed under the name uncultured bacterium. RNAcentral describes it as "bacterial SSU rRNA". It matches the Rfam family "Bacterial small subunit ribosomal RNA", at positions 28 to 507 of the family's 1533-position model. The record is from RNAcentral.
GAUGAACGCUAGCGACAGGCUUAACACAUGCAAGUCGAGGGGCAGCACGGUGUAGCAAUACACUGGUGGCGACCGGCGCACGGGUGAGUAACACGUGUGCAACCAACCCCGUACCGGGAGAUAACCCGCGGAAACGUGGACUAACAUCCCAUAACACUCUAGAGCCGCAUGGUUCUGGAUUUAAAACCCCGGUGGUACGGGACGGGCACGCGCGACAUUAGGUAGUUGGCGGGGUAACGGCCCACCAAGCCGACGAUGUCUAGGGGUUCUGAGAGGAAGGUCCCCCACAUUGGUACUGAGACACGGACCAAACUCCUACGGGAGGCAGCAGUGAGGAAUAUUGGGCAAUGGGCGCAAGCCUGACCCAGCAACGCCGCGUGAAGGAAGAAGGCUUUCGGGUUGUAAACUUCUUUUGUCAGGGACGAGAAGAAGACGGUACCUGACGAAUAAGCCACGGCUAACUACGUG